CGCCAUUUCGCCAGCUGAUCCCCUUCGCCUGCUCCUAUCGGAUUACACAGCCAUCGCAAUGUUUCGAUUGGACAAGUGAGAGCAUUGUUCCUGCUUUGCGUAGAUGAGGGGCACUGUGCAAGGAGUACCCUAUUUCCUGGCAUCCCCCUGCAGGCUGCAAUCCAGAGGAUCUUUUACUGGUAUACCCCAUGUGUGGAAGGAGGAGACAGCCUGUGAUACCAAAGUGAUGUUUUUGAAGGAUUUUGGAGCCACGAGUACCUGUCAUUCCUGUUCAUCAGCUCUUCCUGAAUGUAUCUCAGUUCUCUCGGCAUGGCCCUGUGUGAUCCCAUGAUCCUUUGUCUCUGAGACUGGCUUGUAGAAGGCAGCAUGGGAAGAAUCUGCAGGCGGCUGAGAGGGAGCUCGGAGCCCUGGUCAGUGUGAUCUAUGUCAGCAGCGCGGGGGGGAGAGGCUUUCCUGGAUGCUGUUGCCGUCUCGCGGAGUAACACUCGCCCUGGGAGCCGCCGCAGAGGCUGUCACCGGCACCCCGAGCUGUAAUUAAUCACCUAAUUGGAUUUCCCCGAAAGCACGGGAAGCAUGUGUCCCCUGAGUUUGGCGGGGAAAAAGAUGUCAUCAAUACUGUCCCCCCCCCAAAACACGCCACCAAGCAAUCCGAUUACCCCACCUUGAGUAAGAGCAGCAAUCUUCUUCCUUUUUGAAAACGAGAGCAUAACUUUAAAAAAGAAACCCCCUGCUGCUGAUGCCUUAGCAAUAAAGAAUUAGUGUCAAUUAUUUGAGUAAUAAAAAAGCUGUAAAUAUUAAUGCCUGGGUAAGGCAGUUGCAUGGGGCUCGGGAAAUUGCAGACAUAAUGCACAGUUAAAGGAGCUACUGCGGAAGAAAAUGAUCAAAUUCAUCAUUGCACGUCCCUGUUUUGCCUCUUUGUUUUUCCACUGUGCUGUAGGUGUGCAUUCUGCGUACCAGUCUCGGUAUGUUCAUGGUCUAAAGCCCGACCAUGCUGUCGGACUGAAAACGGCCUUUUUGGUGGCCAGCUCCGCCUAUGGGAUCGGGCAACGGGGAACACUAUGCUGUAGCAGGUGCCACCCUUAGAAUGGGACAUUACAGAGGUCCUGGUCAGCAAAGCAGCGCUCUGGCUGGAUUCCACCCUGGGUUUUUGUGUGAGCCAAAAGAAAAAAAACCCAUGAAAACAGCAGAAAUGCCAGGGACCACUGCAUAGAUAAGGAGCUCAAACACAGAAAGCGAAUAAACAGUAAAACUGAAAAAUGCUCAUUCAUUCACUCUAACAGUCACUGGGCCAGGGAAACAGAGACCAAGCUACUAAUGUAUGUGAGCCCACGGCAUUUAAUCUGUUAACCACUCAAGAUGAGCUACGUCCCUGAACACAAUUAACCAGCAAUGCAAUGUGACCGUAAAGGGUUCAACCAAGAGGUUAGGGAUAUUUUUCUUUGCGGCUGUUAAACCCGCCAAUAAAAUUUUACGUUGCAUUGCAUUAAAGCCACUCUCUAAGUAGAAAUGUGUCUCAGCCUAUUUGAAUAAAACUGAUAGUACACUAGCUAUUUGAACUCUGGGUUUUAGGUCUUUCUGGACCGUAAUCAGAACCGGUGUUGAAAGCAGAAUGAUGAAGAUUUAGGGUCGCGUCUAUCUGUGUGUGAACACCAUCGCGCGUGUCCAGGCUCGGUCUCCUGUUAAAACUUGCGGAUAACUUGAUAAGACCCACCUUACACUAACAAUGUAAUACGAACCAAAGCAAGAGAACGCUCCUUUCAGGGAGAAGACAAGGAUAUAAGGCUUGUGUUGUAUCCAACAAAGUGGGAGCGAGGGAGAUAGGGAAGUGUCCCCAACAAAAUGUAUGGCUA
Lepisosteus oculatus (spotted gar) is the source of this 1850-nucleotide non-coding RNA. The record is from RefSeq and is a predicted model, not a curated record. Lineage: Eukaryota; Metazoa; Chordata; Actinopteri; Semionotiformes; Lepisosteidae.